Molecule: unclassified non-coding RNA, 433 nt
Filed under: soil metagenome
Description: partial contains 5.8S ribosomal RNA, internal transcribed spacer 2, and large subunit ribosomal RNA
Rfam family: 5.8S ribosomal RNA (bases 1-120)
Source: RNAcentral
GAUGAAGAACGUAGCGAAAUGCGAUACGUAAUGUGAAUUGCAGAAUUCAGUGAAUCAUCGAAUCUUUGAACGCAUAUUGCGCUCUCUGGUAUUCCGGAGAGCAUGCUUGUUUGAGUAUCAGUAAACACCUCAACUUCCAUAUCUUUUUUGAAAUGGGAGUUGGACUUGAGUGAUCCCAACGCUUUUCCUCACCGAAAAGUGGCGGGUUACUUGAAAUGCAGGUGCAGCUGGACUUUUCUCUGAGCUAUAAGCAUAUCUAUUUAGUCUGCCUAAAAAACAGAUUAUUACCUUUGCUGCAGCUAACAUAAAGGAGAUUAGUUCUUGUGCUGACUGAUGCAGGAUUCACAAAGACAGGCUUCGGCCGACUUUGUAUACUCGAUCUCAAAUCAAGUAAGACUACCCGCUGAACUUAAGCAUAUCAAUAAGCGGAGGA